Haemonchus contortus (barber pole worm) is the source of this 82-nucleotide non-coding RNA. The record is from Rfam. NCBI's taxonomy places the organism in Eukaryota, Metazoa, Nematoda, Chromadorea, Rhabditida, Trichostrongylidae.
GGAUACGGUAGCUGAAGAGAGCCGUCCGUUGACAGUUCACUAUGGACGCUGUCAUGGAGUCGCUCUCUUCAGACUCCUAGAU